Molecule: ribosomal RNA, 414 nt
Filed under: uncultured bacterium
Lineage: Bacteria
Description: bacterial SSU rRNA
Rfam family: Bacterial small subunit ribosomal RNA
Source: RNAcentral
UCGGGAAUAUUGCGCAAUGGAGGAAACUCUGACGCAGUGACGCCGCGUAUGGGAAGAAGGUUUUCGGAUUGUAAACCAUUUUAGACCAGGAAGAAAAAAGACAGUACUUGUAGAAUAAGCUCCGGCUAACUACGUGCCAGCAGCCGCGGUAAUACGUAGGGAGCAAGCGUUAUCCGGAUUUAUUGGGUGUAAAGGGUGCGUAGACGGGAAGGUAAGUUAGUUGUGAAAUCCCUCGGCUCAACUGAGGAACCGCGACUAAACUGCUUUUCUUGAGUACUGGAGAGGAAAGUGGAAUUCCUAGUGUAGCGGUGAAAUGCGUAGAUAUUAGGAGGAACACCAGUGGCGAAGGCGACUUUCUGGACAGUAACUGACGUUGAGGCACGAAAGUGUGGGGAGCAAACAGGAUUAGAUACC